AUGCAGCUGCGGGCGGAGCCGGCCGGUGCCGCAGAGCCGCCUCCCCGGCGCACGCUGGGGCCGCCCGGCAGCGCCUGCGGAGCGCCCCCCGCUGCCCCCCGGGUACCCCCCGGGUGCCCCCCGGUGCCCCCCGGUGCGGCGGAGGCCGGGGGGCAGGAUGCGAGCCCCUCGGCGGAGGUGAGGCCACGGGGGCUGGGGGCGCGCGGGGGGUCCGCGGGCACCCGUGGGGAGGUGGCCGGGGGCGACCGCGGGGCUGGGACACGCGUGGGGGCUGCGGGACCCCCCCCAUCGCCCUGCCCGGCCCCUGCGCAUCCCCCCGGGGGAGCCGCGGGAUGGGGACGGGGCCUCAUCCAGCACCGUGCCGUGGGGACCCGUGGGUGCUGGGCAGGGCGUGCUGUGCCACACGGCGGGGCCGAGCUGCUGGGUGGCACCGGGGUGGCACCAGGAUGGGGUCACCGCGCAGGUGGGCCCUGCUGGGAGCAGCGGUGGCCCUGCAGUGGGGCCGUGAUUUGGGGCGCAGGCUGCGGGGCUCUCCCCAUCUCCCCCAAAUUCCCGCUCCAGCAGCAGCAGGAGGUGAGUCCCUGGCUCUGUGCGGUGCUGGGCACCUUGGGGACGCUGUGCCAUGGGGCAGCAGCCUCCCUCCUGCACCCCGCUGUGGCCGUGGCCCUCGCCCCGUGGCACCCCGGGGUGCUGGUCCCGGUGCAGCCGCUGGGAUGCUGUGAGUCAGCGGGUGCCGUGAGUCAGGGCCGCGUGGCACCCCUCGUGCCAGGCUGCCCGCGGGGCCCAGGGCACGCUGGCUGCGAGGGUGGGGGGCCCCAGGGGUCUGCACCCAGGGGUCUGCACCCCAGGGAUGUGCACCCCAGCUCUGCUCCGUGCUCCAGGGGUGGCACAGCCGGCAUGAAAGGGCUCUUGUCCUCCUGCAGCACCGCCCUGACCUCCCCUUUGCUGCUGAUGAAUUCCCAGCCUUGUCCCCGCAGCCCGGCACAGGGUUCCCAGUUUGGGUACUGGGCGUGCUGGCCGGGCUGUGGGAGCCACAGGGGCCUGGCACGCCCCUGCCUGGGUGUUUCAGCACCGUGGGCAUCGUGCUGCUGGGCUCCUUCCACGCCUCGGUGGGUGUCUGCGUGGGCGCUGUGCCCCCGGGUAUCACAGCUCCGUGGUGUUUGGAUAUCGUGCGUCCUUGGGUAUCGUGUCUCGGGGUGUCACGCUUCUGGGAAUCGUGCUUCUUUGGAUUUUGUGCCACUGAGUGUUUGGCCUCCUCGGGUGUUAUGCCUUUGGGUACCGAGCUGCUUGGAUGUCACGGCUCUGGGUGCCUCAGGUUGGUUUUGGGUGCCUCUGGGUGCCUUUGGGUGCCUUUGGGUGGCUCUGGGUGCCUCUGGGUGCCUCUGGGUGCCGUGCGUCCUCACGUAUGAUGCCUGGCGGGGUGCAGGGCCAUGCACUGGAGCUGUCAUGCUCCAAUUUCCCCUCCUGGCAGGUUGUUCCCCUGCUCGCUGCCAGGCUGUGGUGCUGUGUGCCCUGCUCGUGAGGUGCCUGCGGUGUGCCCAGCUCCGGGGACACGGCCCUGGGGCACCCGCUGUGCCACAUGUUACAAAAACGUGGGGAUUAGGAAAAGGAAAAUACAGAAAAAUGAUUUUGUUUUAUUUUAAGGAAAAAAAAAAAAAAACACACACAACAAUCUGUUUUCUUUAUUCUUUAAACCCCGAAAUGACUCACGCUUCCCUGCUGAAAAUAAACCUGAUGGCGGCUGCCGCCAGCAGCGGGUGA
This 1761-nucleotide long non-coding RNA is filed under the name Anas zonorhyncha (Eastern spot-billed duck). Its description in RNAcentral is "lncRNA (ENSAZOG00000012164.1)". The record is from RNAcentral. Lineage: Eukaryota; Metazoa; Chordata; Aves; Anseriformes; Anatidae.